This is a long non-coding RNA of Mya arenaria, 353 nucleotides long. RefSeq lists it as uncharacterized. The record is from RefSeq and is a predicted model, not a curated record. The transcript has 3 exons. NCBI's taxonomy places the organism in Eukaryota, Metazoa, Mollusca, Bivalvia, Myida, Myidae.
GAGCCCCCAAAACACGAUUCGUUUUGGAUUCGUUAGGUAGUAUAUUUGACCAACAGAUCCUGAAAUGUGAUGUACAGCUUAUAAUUGAUGUGGUUGGUUCGCAUCCCACGGAACAAGCAUGUGAGGCAGAAUGUCACAAGAUCAUCGCAGAUGGACACUUCUUGAAUUAUGGCUGCCCACUCGUUUGCCUAGGGUUGGAGAGCUUCGCCCACACUUUACAUUUGGUGCCUGACCCCGUCGACGCAAAUGACCCUUGUGGCAGACCUCCCCCGAGUCUGGCCACUACAACUGCUUCAGAAGGUCGCUGAAAUCGAAUGUGGCUUGCUGUAAUAAAUGGAUAUUUAAAAUGAAAA